This is a long non-coding RNA of Bactrocera neohumeralis, 9043 nucleotides long. RefSeq lists it as uncharacterized. Lineage: Eukaryota; Metazoa; Arthropoda; Insecta; Diptera; Tephritidae. The transcript is spliced from 2 exons. The record is from RefSeq and is a predicted model, not a curated record.
AAUUUAUUAAUUUUUUUAAUCGUAAAAUUUUCAUCUAAAAAUUUGACUGCUUACAUCGCCCAUUACGAGCACAGCAUCUACACCAACACUAGUCGAUUUUUGUUUAUUUAAUUAUGAAAUAUUUUUAAUUACAAAAUUUUUACUAUUCAUCUGACUGGCAGCUAGCUGAAAAAUUACAACAAUUUAUUGAUUCAAAAUUUUAAUGUGAUCAUAAACCAGCCAUUUGCCGUUGUAGUGGAGUGAAUAUGAAUGAAUGAAUGCUAUAAGUCAGAAAGCGCAUAAAACUUGUGAGUGUGUGUGAGUGAAGUGAGGAGAAAUGCAAAAAAGCCAUAAAUUAAGUUAUCGAAAAAUAAAUGAAAAUUUAUCAGUUCAAUUGUAAACACAUACCAGCGAGUGCUGAGUUGUUGUUUCGGGUUUUUCGCUGCCACUUUUUUCCAACAAAUUUUUCUUUUCAAUUAUUUUGUGUCUAAAAUUGUUUAAUAGCAAGUUCUUAAGCGAAGUAGUGGAAAAACAAUGAAAAUAAAACAACAAAAAAAAAAAGAAAAGCAAACAAAAAGGAAAGAAAAUUUUGACUAUGACGUUGUUGCCAACGCACAAACCGCAUAUAGUACACGGCUACUAUAUGCAUAUAAAUAUAUAUUUACAUAUACAUACAUACAUAUAACCGAUUGUAUAAGUGUUUACUUAGCUGUUGCGUUUUAUUGUAGUUUAGGCACGGGAAAUGCCUUAAAAAUGCCGUUAUUUCAGCAUAAAAUGACUUGCCUUGCCUUCAAUGCUUAGCCUGCCGAUUUGGGCGGCGAAAGUGGCUGCAGCGGCAAUGGCAUGACGCAGCGCCGUGUGACUUUGGAAUGCUUAUCAUACAAAGCGUGUUGUUUUUGUUGGGCGCUGAGUGAUCUUUGUGGUUUUUAGCAUGUUUUUAGUAUGAGAAUUUAGUAUUACAUUUUUCAUUUAUUUAUGUUUUUAUUUUGUUUUUUUUUUUUUUUUCAUUACUUUACUCUGUAUUUGGUUUAAGCGCUUUUUCUUCCGUCUGUCGACGCGAACUUGUCUCUCAGUUUUUGAGUUAUUGAUCUGAAAUUUUGCACACGUUCUUUUCUCCACAAAGAGCUGCUAAUUUGUCGGAAUCGUCGUGAUCGAACCACUAUAGCAUAUAGCUGCCAUACAAACUAACCGAUCGAAAGCAGGUCCUUGUAUGGAAAACAUUUUAUUUGAUAAGAUAUCUUCACCAAAUUUGACAUAGAUUAUUACCAAAGUCGGCGCAACCAAUCUUCAAACAAAAUUUGCGGAUCGAACGACUAUAACAUAUAGCUGCCAUACAAACUAACUGAUCGAAAAGCAAGUCCUUGUAUGGAAAACUUUUUGAUUUGUCGAGAUAUCUUCACGAAAUUUGACACAGAUUAUUGCCCAAUGCAACGCUACCAAACUCCAAAUGAGUUUUUCCGAUCGGACUACUAUAGCAUAUAGCUGCCAUAUAAACUCACCGCGCAAAAUCAAGUCCUUGUAUGAAAAACUUUUUUUUUUGACAAUAUAUCCUCACGAAAUUUGUUAUAUAAUAUUUUCCAAGGCAACUCUACCAAACUUCAAACAAAUUUUUCAGAUCGGAUCACUAUAGCAUAUAGCUGCCAUACAAACUGAACGCUCAAAAUGAAGUUCUGCUAUGAACACUCCAUUUCCUUUGCCAAAAUACCUUCAAGCGCGGCAGAAGUUAACGUUUUUACUUCUUUUAUAUAUUUUUGUAUCCUUCCUUCAACUUUUUUUCGUUCAAUAUUCGGCCAUAUCUGCCGUUAGUUCACUGCCAAUUUGACCUUAGCUGCCACUCAUUCACUGCUGCAUGAUUGCAUGAUUGCUGCCUGCAUUUCUUGAUAUACUUUACUUUAGAAAGCAAAGUAAGUGGAAGGAAAAUUAAAAGUAAAAACGAAGCAUACAAAUAAAUAAUUCUGCUAAGACUUCGUGAUUGUGAAUUUUUCAUUAUUUACAUGCAUUUUUUAUACUAUAUAACAAUUACAAAUUAUUAUUUUCGCCUCAACUUUUCAAUGCACUCAUUUGCCCGUAGGCGGUGUGUGAGGCGGCAGGGCGGUUGGUUGCGCUCGAAAAUUGCCACUUUUUCAAUUAUUUGCGCUGCCAUUGUUAUGCUUGGUAAUCAAUAAAGCUGCACAGACAACCCCCUCCCCCACCAUGCACGCCUAUAACUUCACACAAACUACCGUUAUGCAUGCAGCCGCCUGCCAUUCAAUGAUUCGUACGAUUUCGCCCCCAUUUUCAUUAAGUCCUUUUUCAUUGGUUUUCCAAUUUGCGCAUUGCCGCCUCUAGAACUCAAUAUUUUCUCAGUACCCUCGUCUUUUUUUUUUCGGGGCUUGCUUGCCAAUCUCUAUGCAUAUUGCUCGCGUUCAUAUGAAUUCUUAAUAAUUUCGCGCGUCUUUGCUUUGCUUGAGUGAUUUUUUUCGAAUAUUUUUUUUUUAUUAUUUUCCGCUUUCAUCUGCUUCGUGACGAAUUAGGCCAUAGCUACUUUUGUAUUUUUAACAAUGCCGGAUUUGCGCCGUUUCACACAUCCACAGCCACACGUUUGCUAUUUGCCUUCGUGCCUUGCUCGCUGCCGUUUAGCGUAUCCUUAUCAAAUAUGCCUAUUUCUUUUUGAUAUGCGAAGACGUGUAUGUAUGUCGUCGCCGCCCACUGUUUGUUAUUCAUACAUUCAUUCAUUCAUUCGUUCGAUCGUUUAACUAUUCAGCCGUGUUCGCUGGCGCUGCAUUCAUUCAUGCUCGACAAGUGUCGUAGAGGCUUUGGCAUCUUAAUUUGAAUUUGAAUCCUCGAACAGCAUUCGAAUUACCAAUUGUUGCUCGCAUUUCCAUCCAAAUUUCAGCGCCUCCCAAGCGCUAUUGUGUGGCGUGGUAAGUUGCUUAGUGUGGCAUGGCAUAAUUUUAAGAAGUGCAGAGUCGUUCUUCCAGAUUUUUGUGUAGAAAUGCAGCCUGAGAUUUUGCAAGGAUUUUGUAAGGACAGCAUCGUUAAGCACCUCAUUCUAAGUUAUCCAUAAUCGGGAUUUCUCAAAUGUCGUGGUAUCUUGUGAACUAAAUCUGCAUCUAAAUUUUUACGAUCCUUUCUUUUUUCAGUUAAUUCCACUUUACCUCUAUAGUUUAGUAGAGACUUAAUAUCUAAUUCUGAUACUUCACCCAGUCUCUUGAACUCCGAAGCUCCUAGAUUUCUAAGCUCAGAUGGAGGUUCAGUUCAAUACCAGAUGAAAUUUAUUUCCUGCUGGACGUCAACGUUUUUUGUGAAAUUUAAUAGAGACUUAAUAUCUAAUUCCGAUACUUCACCCAGUCUCUUGAACUCCGAAGCUCUUAGAACAACCUUGAACUCCGAACACCCUUGAACUCCGAAGCUCCUAGAUUAUAUAUCUUAAGUCGAGUUCUAAAUAAAGCCGUACAGAAGUAGAGGCGGUGUUCUAGCUUCUAUCUUCUGCCUACUUCCAUGUAGUAUUUACAUGUGUCAACGUUAAUAAUGUUCACAGGGCUCACAUAUGAUGCCGGGAAGUUAUGCCUUUUGACUAGGCCAACAACUGUCUUGGAGUCAUUUCCAGAUCGUGUGAAUAUAAUGCACUUAUGUCUUUCUUUUACCUUGUACAUCAUCUUGCCUAUCCUGCAUAACUUUAAGGCAGUCUAUCUCGCCCUGAUCCGACUGUCAGCCCCACACCUCGAUAAUCGAAGAAAACUGCUCUGACUUUGUUUUUUUCGGCUACGGUUGCCACGAUAUUCGGCCGUUUGAUCCUAUGUUACCGAGUCGUAUGCGUAGAUCCUAGACUCAUCGCCAGUAAUAAUACAUUUCAUGACAUCCUGAUAGCCUUAAAGCAUUCAUUGUUUCACAGAAAAAAUUGCCUGAUUCUGGAUCCAAUUGUGUUUUCACUUUUCUAAGGCCAGAUUAUUUUUCAAAAUGGUUUUCACCUUUCCUUCCGAUAUUCCAAUGAUGCCAGUAAGAUCUCUAUUCUUUAUUUUGUUGAUGGCCGUCCUGGACGUGGUUCGUCGUCAAAGCGUUCUCGACCCACUUCCGUUUAGAGUUAGUUUGCCAGCAUUACAGUUUUCCCAUGUUUUUAUUCUAGUUGACUGUAAAAUUAUAUACCAAAUACUUCACUCUUCUGAAAACGUGUUUUUAACUUUAGAAUCCAAAUCCAAAAUCCUUAGAUCUGACUCGAAAAUUUGGAAAUAUUAAUAAAUUUUGAUACUAGGAUUUGUUUCGCCUUUGAACUAAAUGAUCACAUAACCUUUAGAGAUUGUAUGUCAUCGAGAUAGUUAUCUCACGAAUUGAAAGAACUUUUCAGUAUGUAUUCUCUAUUUUUUCUACCAUAUUUUCUCUCUCUCUUUUCUUAAUUCCAUCAUACUUGUAUUGGUUCGGUAAUGAUCUCAAGAAAAACGAUCAUAAGUGAUCUUACACUAUUAUUGAGUGAUCAAGGAAGAGUGAGUUGUGUUUUUAGUAUUGUAGAAUAGUGUUAACUAUUUAGUUCAUUUUUUAGUUUCUCAGUCAGUCGAAAUAAAGUUUCGAAGUGAUUUUAGCGAUCAUUUGGAACCGACUUUAUAUGCGAAAUUUUUGUUUUUUUUGAUUAUGAAAUCAUCGAUAGGAUGUAAAGAAAGUAAUAAUAAAUACAGACAUGCUCUGAUAUGUUUAUAAAAGGUUUUCCUUUUAUUCACCUUUAGAUGAGUUGAACAUCGUUUAGCAAACGUUCUUAAGAAAACUGAUCUUCAGUGAACCUGAACGAAAUAGAUCUUGCUUUUGAAGCAAAGAAGUCAUCAUAUAUUAUUGAUAUAUAUUGAUAUAUGAUAUGCAAUUGAUUGAAAUUAUUGAAGAAAGAAAUUGAAAACAUACAUACAUAUAUUAAUGUAUGCGUUGUAUGCGAUCUCCAUGGACGAUCUUCAGUGAUCAUAUAUCAUAUAUGAUCGUACCAGAUUUUUAAGAUGGAGUUUUGAGAUUUUUUCAAUUAAAAAUGUAUAAAGAUUGAUCAUUGGAAGCUUUGAAGUUAUUAUAUUGAUAUAUUGUAAAUAAAAUUGUUUGAAAACAUAAGAUAAUGCUGUCCUCGAUCUAUACAAGUAUAAACGAUCCUCAAUGAUCAUACGAGUAUAUGGUUUUUACAAGUAGUUUUCAGUUUUUUUUAAACCAGUAGUUGAAAAAAAAUAAAUAAAUAAAAUCGGAGUGCUGUUUUCGAACACUAUAGAUGAUCUUCGGCGAUCAUAUGUGAUCGUGCUAGGUUUUCGAGAUGAAGUUUUGAGAUUUUUUCAAUUAAAAAUGGUAAAAGCUCGGGCAUUAGAAGCAUAGCUGUCAUUAUAUGGACAUACCUAUUAUUAAAUUUUUGAAAAUAAAUUUGAUCGAAAAAAUAUGAGAAUGCUGUUCUCGAUCGCUAUAGACUAUUUUCACUUAUAGUUUUUUACAAGAAAUUUAAAUUUUUUUUUAAAUAUAAAUUAGAUAAAUUAAAAAAAUAUGUCCUCUAGUUAUCUGAAGGCUGUCUUUACUGAUUUUUCAGAUUUUUUUAAAUUUAGUAAUUGGAAAAAAUAAAGUUGGGCGUGCUGUCUUCGAUCGCUAUAAACGAUCAUUAGUGACCAAAUAUAAACGGAAACUAGCUUUUUCGUUGAAAAAUUCUGAUUUUUUGGAUUUAGUAAUUGGGCAAAACAAAAAUUAAGAAUUAAAAUAGCUUUCCUUGUGGCUGAUAAGCUAUAAAAAUGUAAGCCUUGUCUUUUUUUUUGCAUUUCCAUUGCUCCAUUUAUCCAUUUGACACUCCAUGGUUAGCUGGCGCGCUCGUAAAAAACGAAAUAUUCUCUAUUUAUACGCAAAUUCAAUGCCAGCAGAGUUCGCAAAGCAUACAAUUAGACACCGGAAUAUACAUACAGACAUGCUAACACACAUAUACAUGUAUAAAUAAUAUUUAAGUGUCACAUGUCCAUGGACAAUUUCUGCGAAACUCAGCAGAAACGAGUUGGCUGACUAAGUGCUGACAACACAUGGCCGCAAAACCGUGUGGCAACAGUCUUAAAAUAUAUAUGUAUGUAUUUAUAUACAAGCUUAUAUAACAGUAGAUGGUUAGCAUUAGAAGAUACGUGGCUAAAAUUUUAAUGUCAGAAAAAUGAAGCAGCUAAAAAAAGCGAUGUCUUCGAUAUUAGAACUUUUCUGCUUCAGCGCACCGCUGGGAGAGUAGUGAUUGCGUCGGCGGGGAGCUGGCACGGCGAGUUGACGGUGUAACAGAAAUUAUGACAUGAAACAACAUACACAAAUAUGUGUGUGCAUAACUUUACAUUGUACGUACGUCCGUCCGGUGGAUGAGUUCAGUUCAGCACAGCUGACAGCUGGGAUUGCCUUUGGUUGGCUGGCGGCUGACUGGUUCGCUGAUGGGUUCAAUGAGUUGGUGGCGUUUGUGCAUUUGUCAGGUUCAAGAAAUCAGGCUAAAUAUAUAGUGAAAUAUAUAGCCAUACAUAUACACACACAUAUGUACAUAUAUUUCUGUUUAUGUAUGUAUGUAUGUGUGUGUAUAAAAUAUUUGUGUAGGACAGGCACAUGUGAGCAUGAUGGAUUUCGGUGAUUUUUUUUUCAUUUGUGCACAUACAUACGAACACAUAUGAGCAGCGUGCGUGCACACGUGUAUAAUUGUGUUUAUAUACAUACAUAAAUAUCUACAUAUGUAGUCACUGUCAUACAAAUGAAUGUAAAUAUGUCGCAUUACUCAGCUUUGAGAAUGUUUCUCCGGCAUUGCGCGCCUUUCUACUGCCGCCAUACAAUAUAUACAUGCGCACAUACAUAAGCAUAAACACAUACAUUUGUAUAUAAGCUUGUGUGUUUGCCUGUGCGCCUGAAAGUUGGCCGUGGCCGCGUGUGUGAUGGAUGCCUUUAAUGCGUAAUAAGAAGCGUUGAAAAACGUGUUGAACAUUGAAAGCGUUUUGUUGUUGGUAAUUGAGAGAAUAUAUUUUUUUAAAUUUUUUUUUGUACUAUAUGGGAAACAAGCAUGCGAGUCGCGGCAAAGUAAAAUUAAAAUAAAAUUGAAAAAGUAAAUGCAUGAGAAAAAAUAAAUAAAACGCGAGCGAAAAUAAAAGUGUGGCAAAAUAAAAUUAAGUAAACAAAAAAUGUUGCUGCGUAUCUUAUUAAAUAAAUCACUUAACAUAAAAAACAAACAAUUAUGUAAAAAGCACUGGGAAUAUUAAAAGGAAAUUAUAUAAAAAUUAUAGUAAAAAUUUACAAAAAAUAAAUAAAUAAAAUAACUACAAUAAUAAUAAUAAAAAUAAUAUAAAAAAUAAUAAUAUAAUAUAAAAAAUAAUAAUAAGAUAAUAAAAACAAUAUAAAAAAUAAUAAUAACAUAAUAAAAAAAUAACAUAUAAAAAGUUUUCCACACAAAAACUUGAUUUUGAUCAGCAGUUUGUAUGGCAGCUAUACGCUAUAGUGGUCGGAUCCGAGAAUUUUUUUCAUAUAUUAUAGUGUUGACUUGGAUAAUAUUAUGUGCUGAAUUUCGUGAAGUUACCUCUGCAAAUAAAAAAGUUUUCCAUACAAAGACUUCGUUUUGAUUGUUCAGUUUGUAUGGCGGCUAUAAGCUAUAGUAGUUCGAUCUGUACAAUUUCUUCGGAGAUUUUACUAUUUCCAUAGGUAAUAAUCCAUGCCAAGUUUCGUGAAGAUAACUUGUCAAAUACAAAAGUUUUCCAUACAAGGACUAGAUUUUGACCGAUAAGUUUGUAUGACAGCUAUAUGCUAUAUUAUUCCUAUCUGAACAAUUUCUUCUGAGAUUAUAGUGUUGCCGCAUAUAGUAAUCCAUGCCAAAUUUUGUGUAGAUAUCUCGUCAAAUAAAAAAGUUUUUAACAAGGACUUGAUUUAGCUCGUUCGACCUGAACCAUUUCUUCCGAGAUUUUUCCGUUGCAUAAGAUAAUAUUAAAAACAACUAUGAACGCGGGACAGAGAUAGGUGGGCGACAUUGUUAAAAUAGUAAAAUGAAAAUUUGUCAACAUUCUUCAUCGUCCCUUUCACCAGUAGAAGAUCCCUGACGGGCUUAAGGACUCUAACCCUAAGCGGCAGGGUAAUAUCACUGUCGAAUUAAGUGAAAUACGUCUGAGUCCGACAGUAGCGUUCGAGGUUGUUAUGUGACUUACUCCGCUCCACAAUGUGAUCGAUCAAAUUUGAUUUGGAAAACAAACUAUGCUGGAUAUGUGUACAUGGCAGAGGGCUUUGCCAGGGGAGAAGUGAUAUAGGCCACUCUCCAAACGCUCUCCAUCUUUGCUGUGGGUACAUACUAUGCCACAUUUACAAGAUAAAUAUUCCGGAAGGUGAAAAAGGUAGAGAGAGACAAGCAUGGGAGCAAAUUUUUGGGUAGCGCCAAGUUAAACUGAACUUGAAUUUAUUAGGGUGUAAGGCCUAAUGAUGCUUUGUAGAAAGGGAGGAGCGUACAAUAGGUCAUAGGUCGCAGUGCAUACCUCAAUAACUUUCUGUUAUAUUAUAUUUUAUACUAUGAAUGAGAUAAAAAAUUAUGAUAAAUAAAAAAUAAAAAUUAAUAAAAAAAGAAAACGGAAAUAAAUAAAUAAUAAAAUAAUUAAAAUCACAAAAAAUUAAAUAAAAAGUAACAAAAAAACAAAUAUAAUAAUAAAAUAAAAUAACAAAAAUUGAAAUAAAAAUAAAUUAAAAAUUAACAAAAAUAGAAAAGAAAUACAAAAUAAAAAAGGAAAAUGAAAACAAUAAAUAAUAAAUAAAAAAAAAAUUAAGUUAAGUGAAAAAAUAAAAAUUUAUAAAAUAAAAUAACAAGAAAUCAUCAAAAUAAAUUUAAAAAAAAAGAAAAUUAAGUAAAAAUUGAAAAGUAGAUAAAAUCAAAAUAAAUUAAAGUAAAAAAUAUAUAUAUAAUAAAAAUCUAUAAAUAAUUUAAAAAAAUAAAAAAAACAUGAAUAAAUAUUAAAAAUGAACAAAAAAAUAAAAUACUAAAUAAAAUUAAGAAAUAAAUAAAUAAAGAAGCUAAAAUAAAAACAUUACAAAAAUAAAAAAUAAUAAAUUAAAAUAACAAGACAUGACCAACAAAAAAAAAAUUAAAAGAAACUAAAAAUAAAAAAAA